UACGUAGGGUGCGAGCGUUAAUCGGAAUUACUGGGCGUAAAGAGCUCGUAGGCGGUUUGUCGCGUCUGCUGUGAAAACUCGGGGCUUAACCCCGGGCCUGCAGUGGGUACGGGCAGACUAGAGUGCGGUAGGGGAGACUGGAAUUCCUGGUGUAGCGGUGAAAUGCGCAGAUAUCAGGAGGAACACCGGUGGCGAAGGCGGGUCUCUGGGCCGUAACUGACGCUGAGGAGCGAAAGCGUGGGGAGCGAACAGG
Molecule: ribosomal RNA, 253 nt
Filed under: uncultured bacterium
Lineage: Bacteria
Description: partial 16S ribosomal RNA
Rfam family: Bacterial small subunit ribosomal RNA
Source: RNAcentral